GGACUACACGGGUUUCUAAUCCCGUUUGCUCCCCUGGCUUUCGCGCCUCAGCGUCAGAAAAGGUCCAGCGCGUCGCUUUCGCCACCGGCGUUCCUAUUGAUAUCUACGCAUUUCACCGCUCCACCAAUAGUUCCACGCGCCCCUACCUCCCUCGAGACUGCCAGUAUCAAAAGCACUUUUCCGGUUGGGCCGAAAGAUUUCACCCCUGACUUGGCAGCCCGCCUACGCGCCCUUUAAGCCCAGUGAUUCCGAACAACGUUAGGACGGUUCGUCUUACCGCGGCUGCUGGCAC
RNAcentral lists this ribosomal RNA (292 nucleotides) under uncultured Planctomycetota bacterium. RNAcentral describes it as "uncultured planctomycete partial 16S ribosomal RNA". Lineage: Bacteria; Pseudomonadati; Planctomycetota. The record is from RNAcentral.